GAGUUUGAUCAUGGCUCAGAUUGAACGCUGGCGGCAUGCCUUACACAUGCAAGUCGAACGGCAGCAUGAUCUAGCUUGCUAGAUUGAUGGCGAGUGGCGAACGGGUGAGUAAUACAUCGGAACGUGCCCUGUAGUGGGGAGUAACUAGUCGAAGAUUAGCUAAUACCGCAUACGACCUGAGGGUGAAAGUGGGGGACCGCAAGGCCUCAUGCUAUAGGAGCGGCCGAUGUCUGAUUAGCUAGUUGGUGGGGUAAAGGCCCACCAAGGCGACGAUCAGUAGCUGGUCUGAGAGGACGAUCAGCCACACUGGGACUGAGACACGGCCCAGACUCCUACGGGAGGCAGCAGUGGGGAAUUUUGGACAAUGGGCGAAAGCCUGAUCCAGCAAUGCCGCGUGUGUGAAGAAGGCCU
This 411-nucleotide ribosomal RNA is filed under the name uncultured microorganism. Its description in RNAcentral is "bacterial SSU rRNA". It matches the Rfam family "Bacterial small subunit ribosomal RNA", at positions 9 to 417 of the family's 1533-position model. The record is from RNAcentral.